CUCAGAGCCCAAUAAGCUCUCUUGGAAGAGGCCGUUCCCGAGGAGCCAACAGAGGCAGGGCUUUGUGCAUGGCCGGGCAGCCGGCUUCCUCCAGCCCAGCCAGCGGCUGCGCGGCUCCGGGCUCGGCUUGGAGGCAAAGCCGCUACGGAGCGGAGAGCGGCGCCUUCCUUAGGGUUCAGAAGGAGCAGAUCAGUCAGCUGCAGAAUCUUGGACAGAAGAGGCAGUGCCGCCCCAGGCAGGAAGCGCAUUGCUCGCCCCGCUCCCCUUAUCCUUUCAGAGAGGGGCAUAUGGAGACUGGCAAGUGUUGAAGAGCCCUGGCUGGAGCAAGGUGAAGGGCUGCAACAGGAUCCAUUGCAAAGAAGGCCCAGAAAUGGAAGACUGUCCUUUCUUACUCAAGAAAGUACCUCUUCGAGUCAGCAAGUGGUUUGAUUGAAUGAGGGCAAUGAAACUAGUCCGUGGUGAAAAUUUUUUAAGAAGAAAGCUCCACAGAUGCGCAUUUGAAGUCCUCAUGUAAAUCCUACUGAAGUGAGGGGCUGAGGCAUGUCCACUGAAUUUGGUGGAGUCCUUUUGAAGAAUGGGGGUAAGUGAUUCUUUGUGGACUGGAAUAGAGAAACAUGCUGCUGACAAUAUGGCCAUCUUUUCCAUAUGAGGCUCUUUUGCAAGCCCUGAUGAAAUUUGAACCAUAAAGGAAACUACACAAUAGUUUGUGUGGUAAAGACAAAGUCCAGAAUGAAAAUUCUGACUCUUGUGUUUCCCCUUCCUCAGUGAAGCGUCAUGUGGGCUCUGUCUGAGCUUAGGAAAUGUACAUGAAAGUGAUCCCCCAUUAGUGCUAAACCGCAUUGUGGAGCUGGAGGGUGCAAUAGGAUUAGAGCCUCUACCAAAAUUCCUUCGGGUGAAAUAA
Pezoporus flaviventris is the source of this 901-nucleotide long non-coding RNA. RefSeq lists it as uncharacterized. The transcript is spliced from 3 exons. Lineage: Eukaryota; Metazoa; Chordata; Aves; Psittaciformes; Psittacidae. The record is from RefSeq and is a predicted model, not a curated record.